UACGGAGGGGGCUAGCGUUGUUCGGAAUUAUUGGGCGUAAAGCGCGUGUAGGCGGUUUGGCAAGUCGGGUGUGAAAGCCCUCAGCUCAACUGAGGAAGUGCGCCCGAAACUGCUGGACUUGAGUGCCGGAGAGGGUGGCGGAAUUCCCCAAGUAGAGGUGAAAUUCGUAGAUAUGGGGAGGAACACCGGUGGCGAAGGCGGCCACCUGGACGGUGACUGACGCUGAGACGCGAAAGCGUGGGGAGCAAACAGG
RNAcentral lists this ribosomal RNA (253 nucleotides) under uncultured bacterium. RNAcentral's name for it is "partial 16S ribosomal RNA". It matches the Rfam family "Bacterial small subunit ribosomal RNA", at positions 524 to 776 of the family's 1533-position model. The record is from RNAcentral.